AUUUAUAUAGUUUAAUAAAAACCUUACAUUUUCAUUGUAAAAAUAAAAAUAUUUUUUUUAUAAAUA
Molecule: transfer RNA, 66 nt
Filed under: Helophilus pendulus
Lineage: Eukaryota; Metazoa; Arthropoda; Insecta; Diptera; Syrphidae
Description: tRNA-Glu
Source: RNAcentral